UCUGAAUCUCUGCUUUGCAGGGAAAUGAUGAUAUUUACAUCUGUACCAGGAACUCAUCAGGUAUUAUCACAGUUCAGCAAGCGUUCUCCACAGGACGUGUGAGUCCCACACUCAGGAACACGAGCUCAGUGGAGUCAGCUGAGGCCUCUUAUGUGGAUGGGGUGUUGAAAUGUUUGUUCAUCACACAGAGCAGCAUCUCCACUCAGGCGAGAGCUAGCACCGCCUCCAGCUACUAUAUAUUCCUAGCCAAUGGCCCGUCCCAGGCAAAUGGUCAGAUUCUUGAGCACACACAGAUACCCCUAAUAACUGAAAACAAGGUUGAUCUGUCAAGUUUUGCAUCAUCCAGUGCCCAGACUGGGACCAGUCCUGUCAUACUUGUUCAUGGUAAGUGCAGAUACUUACAGACACCCCAAACAAUUCUGCAGGAUCAAUUUGCAGAGCUCCCAGCAGUGCUGAAAUUUGUAACAUAUCACAAUAUCCAAGGUGCAAUAACUCCAGCCUUAAACCUUUACUGCCAAAACGUCCCCAUCAUCAAUAUGAAACCCUCAGCCCCAUCACUCCAGGUUCCCCUAACACCAGCUAGAAUCACUGAGCGCUAACACUUCCCAUUAUCCCAGGUUCCUAUAACACCAGCUAAAAUCACUGAGCGCUAACACUUCCCAUUAUCCCAGGUUCCCCUAACACCAGCUAGAAUCACUGAGCGCUAACACUUCCCAUUAUCCCAGGUUCCACUAACACCAGCUAGAAUCACUGAGCGCUAAUACUUUCCAUUAUCCCAGGUUCCUAUAACACCAGCUAGAAUCACUGAGCGCUAACACUUCCCAUUAUCCCAGGUUCCACUAACACCAGCUAGAAUCACUGGGCGCAAACACUUCCCAUUAUCCCAGGUUCCCCUAACACCAGCUAGAAUCACUGAGCGCUAACACUUCCCAUUAUCCCAGGUUCCCCUAACACCAGCUAGAAUCACUGAGCGCUAACACUUCCCAUUAUCCCAGGUUCCCCUAACACCAGCUAGAAUCACUGAGCGCUAACACUUCCCAUCAUCCCAGGUUCCCCUAACACCAGCUAGAAUCACUGAGCGCUAACACUUCCCAUUAUCCCAGGUUCCCCUAACACCAGCCAGAAUCACUGAGCGCUAACAUUUCCCAUUAUCCCAGGUUCCCCUAACACCAGCUAGAAUCACUGGGCGCUAACACUUCCCAUUAUCCCAGGUUCCCCUAACACCAGCUAGAAUCACUGAGCGCUAACACUUCCCAUUAUCCCAGGUUCCUAUAACACCAGCUAGAAUCACUGAGCCCUAACACUUCCCAUUAUCCCAGGUUCCUCUAACACCAGCUAGAAUCACUGAGCGCUAACACUUCCCUUUAUCCCAGGUUCCCCUAACACCAGCUAGAAUUACUGGGCGCUAACACUUCCCAUUAUCCUAGGUUCCCCUAACACCAGCUAGAAUCACUGAGCGCUAACACUUCCCAUUAUCCCAGGUUCCCCUAACACCAGCUAGAAUCACUGGGCGCUAACAAUUCCCAUUAUCCCAGGUUCCCCUAACACCAGCUAGAAUCACUGAGCGCUAACACUUCCCAUUAUCCCAGGUUCCGUUAACACCAGCUAGAAUCACUAAGCGCUAACACUUCCCAUUAUCCCAGGUUCCCCUAACACAAGCUAGAGAUACUGAGCGCUAACACUUCCCAUUAUCCCAGGUUCCCCUAACACCAGCUAGAAUCACUGAGCGCUAACACUUCCCAUUAUCCCAGGUUCCGUUAACACCAGCUAGAAUCACUGAGCGCUAACACUUCCCAUUAUCCCAGGUUCCUAUAACACCAGCUAGAAUCACUGAGCGCUAACACUUCCCAUUAUCCCAGGUUCCCCUAACACCAGCUAGAAUCACUGAGCGCUAACACUUCCCAUUAUCCCAGGUUCCCCUAACACCAGCUAGAAUCACUGGGCACUAACAAUUCCCAUUAUCCCAGGUUCCCCUAACACCAGCUAGAAUCACUGGGCGCUAACACUUCCCAUUAUCCCAGGUUCCCCUAACACCAGCUAGAAUCACUGGGCGCUAACAAUUCCCAUUAUCCCAGGUUCCCCUAACACCAGCUAGAAUCACUGAGCGCUAACACUUCCCAUUAUCCCAGGUUCCUCUAACACCAGCUAGAAUCACUGAGCGCUAACACUUCCCAUUAUCCCAGGUUCCUAUAACACCAGCUAGAAUCACUGGGCGCUAACACUUCCCAUUAUCCCAGGUUCCCCUAACACCAGCUAGAAUCACUGAGCGCUAACACUUCCCAUUAUCCCAGGUUCCCCUAACACCAGCUAGAAUCACUGAGCGCUAACACUUCCCAUUAUCCCAGGUUCCCCUAACACCAGCUAGAAUCACUGAGCGCUAACACUUCCCAUUAUCCCAGGUUCCUAUAACACCAGCUAGAAUCACUGGGCGCUAACACUUCCCAUUAUCCCAGGUUCCUAUAACACCAGCUAGAAUCACUGGGCGCUAACACUUCCCAUUAUCCCAGGUUCCCCUAACACCAGCUAGAAUCACUGAGCGCUAACACUUCCCAUUAUCCCAGGUUCCGUUAACCCCAGCUAGAAUCACUAAGCGCUAACACUUCCCAUUAUCCCAGGUUCCCCUAACACAAGCUAGAGAUACUGAGCGCUAACACUUCCCAUUAUCCCAGGUUCCUAUAACACCAGCUAGAAUCACUGAGCGCUAAUACUUCCCAUUAUCCCAGGUUCCCCUAACACCAGCUAGAAUCACUGAGCGCUAACACUUCCCAUUAUCCCAGGUUCCCCUAACACCAGCUAGAAUCACUAAGCGCUAACACUUCCCAUUAUCCCAGGUUCCCCUAACACAAGCUAGAGAUACUGAGCGCUAACACUUCCCAUUAUCCCAGGUUCCCCUAACACCAGCUAGAAUCACUGAGCGCUAACACUUCCCAUUAUCCCAGGUUCCGUUAACACCAGCUAGAAUCACUGAGCGCUAACACUUCCCAUUAUCCCAGGUUCCUAUAACACCAGCUAGAAUCACUGAGCGCUAACACUUCCCAUUAUCCCAGGUUCCCCUAACACCAGCUAGAAUCACUGAGCGCUAACACUUCCCAUUAUCCCAGGUUCCCCUAACACCAGCUAGAAUCACUGGGCGCUAACAAUUCCCAUUAUCCCAGGUUCCCCUAACACCAGCUAGAAUCACUGGGCGCUAACACUUCCCAUUAUCCCAGGUUCCCCUAACACCAGCUAGAAUCACUGGGCGCUAACAAUUCCCAUUAUCCCAGGUUCCCCUAACACCAGCUAGAAUCACUGAGCGCUAACACUUCCCAUUAUCCCAGGUUCCUCUAACACCAGCUAGAAUCACUGAGCGCUAACACUUCCCAUUAUCCCAGGUUCCUAUAACACCAGCUAGAAUUACUGGGCGCUAACACUUCCCAUUAUCCCAGGUUCCCCUAACACCAGCUAGAAUCACUGAGCGCUAACACUUCCCAUUAUCCCAGGUUCCCCUAACACCAGCUAGAAUCACUGAGCGCUAACACUUCCCAUUAUCCCAGGUUCCCCUAACACCAGCUAGAAUCACUGAGCGCUAACACUUCCCAUUAUCCCAGGUUCCUAUAACACCAGCUAGAAUCACUGGGCGCUAACACUUCCCAUUAUCCCAGGUUCCUAUAACACCAGCUAGAAUCACUGGGCGCUAACACUUCCCAUUAUCCCAGGUUCCCCUAACACCAGCUAGAAUCACUGAGCGCUAACACUUCCCAUUAUCCCAGGUUCCGUUAACCCCAGCUAGAAUCACUAAGCGCUAACAAUUCCCAUUAUCCCAGGUUCCCCUAACACCAGCUAGAAUCACUGAGCGCUAACACUUCCCAUUAUCCCAGGUUCCCCUAACACCAGCUAGAAUCACUGAGCGCUAACACUUCCCAUUAUCCCAGGUUCCCCUAACACCAGCUAGAAUCACUGAGCGCUAACACUUCCCAUUAUCCCAGGUUCCUAUAACACCAGCUAGAAUCACUGGGCGCUAACACUUCCCAUUAUCCCAGGUUCCUAUAACACCAGCUAGAAUCACUGGGCGCUAACACUUCCCAUUAUCCCAGGUUCCCCUAACACCAGCUAGAAUCACUGAGCGCUAACACUUCCCAUUAUCCCAGGUUCCGUUAACCCCAGCUAGAAUCACUAAGCGCUAACACUUCCCAUUAUCCCAGGUUCCCCUAACACAAGCUAGAGAUACUGAGCGCUAACACUUCCCAUUAUCCCAGGUUCCUAUAACACCAGCUAGAAUCACUGGGCGCUAACACUUCCCAUUAUCCCAGGUUCCUAUAACACCAGCUAGAAUCACUGGGCGCUAACACUUCCCAUUAUCCCAGGUUCCCCUAACACCAGCUAGAAUCACUGAGCGCUAACACUUCCCAUUAUCCCAGGUUCCGUUAACACCAGCUAGAAUCACUAAGCGCUAACACUUCCCAUUAUCCCAGGUUCCCCUAACACAAGCUAGAGAUACUGAGCGCUAACACUUCCCAUUAUCCCAGGUUCCCCUAACACCAGCUAGAAUCACUGAGCGCUAACACUUCCCAUUAUCCCAGGUUCCCCUAACACCAGCCAGAAUCACUGAGCGCUAACAUUUCCCAUUAUCCCAGGUUCCCCUAACACCAGCUAGAAUCACUGGGCGCUAACACUUCCCAUUAUCCCAGGUUCCCCUAACACCAGCUAGAAUCACUAAGCGCUAACACUUCCCAUUAUCCCAGGUUCCUAUAACACCAGCUAGAAUCACUGAGCCCUAACACUUCCCAUUAUCCCAGGUUCCUCUAACACCAGCUAGAAUUACUGGGCGCUAACAAUUCCCAUUCUCCCAGGUUCCCCUAACACCAGCUAGAAUCACUGAGCGCUAACACUUCCCAUUAUCCCAGGUUCCGUUAACACCAGCUAGAAUCACUAAGCGCUAACACUUCCCAUUAUCCCAGGUUCCCCUAACACAAGCUAGAGAUACUGAGCGCUAACACUUCCCAUUAUCCCAGGUUCCCCUAACACCAGCUAGAAUCACUGAGCGCUAACACUUCCCAUUAUCCCAGGUUCCGUUAACACCAGCUAGAAUCACUGAGCGCUAACACUUCCCAUUAUCCCAGGUUCCUAUAACACCAGCUAGAAUCACUGAGCGCUAACACUUCCCAUUAUCCCAGGUUCCCCUAACACCAGCUAGAAUCACUGGGCGCUAACAAUUCCCAUUAUCCCAGGUUCCCCUAACACCAGCUAGAAUCACUGGGCGCUAACACUUCCCAUUAUCCCAGGUUCCCCUAACACCAGCUAGAAUCACUGGGCGCUAACAAUUCCCAUUAUCCCAGGUUCCCCUAACACCAGCUAGAAUCACUGAGCGCUAACACUUCCCAUUAUCCCAGGUUCCUCUAACACCAGCUAGAAUCACUGAGCGCUAACACUUCCCAUUAUCCCAGGUUCCUAUAACACCAGCUAGAAUUACUGAGCGCUAACACUUCCCAUUAUCCCAGGUUCCCCUAACACCAGCUAGAAUCACUGAGCGCUAACACUUCCCAUUAUCCCAGGUUCCCCUAACACCAGCUAGAAUCACUGAGCGCUAACACUUCCCAUUAUCCCAGGUUCCCCUAACACCAGCUAGAAUCACUGAGCGCUAACACUUCCCAUUAUCCCAGGUUCCUAUAACACCAGCUAGAAUCACUGGGCGCUAACACUUCCCAUUAUCCCAGGUUCCUAUAACACCAGCUAGAAUCACUGGGCGCUAACACUUCCCAUUAUCCCAGGUUCCCCUAACACCAGCUAGAAUCACUGAGCGCUAACACUUCCCAUUAUCCCAGGUUCCGUUAACCCCAGCUAGAAUCACUAAGCGCUAACACUUCCCAUUAUCCCAGGUUCCCCUAACACCAGCUAGAAUCACUGAGCGCUAACACUUCCCAUUAUCCCAGGUUCCCCUAACACCAGCUAGAAUCACUGAGCGCUAACACUUCCCAUUAUCCCAGGUUCCCCUAACACCAGCUAGAAUCACUGAGCGCUAACACUUCCCAUUAUCCCAGGUUCCUAUAACACCAGCUAGAAUCACUGGGCGCUAACACUUCCCAUUAUCCCAGGUUCCUAUAACACCAGCUAGAAUCACUGGGCGCUAACACUUCCCAUUAUCCCAGGUUCCCCUAACACCAGCUAGAAUCACUGAGCGCUAACACUUCCCAUUAUCCCAGGUUCCGUUAACACCAGCUAGAAUCACUAAGCGCUAACACUUCCCAUUAUCCCAGGUUCCCCUAACACAAGCUAGAGAUACUGAGCGCUAACACUUCCCAUUAUCCCAGGUUCCCCUAACACCAGCUAGAAUCACUGAGCGCUAACACUUCCCAUUAUCCCAGGUUCCGUUAACACCAGCUAGAAUCACUGAGCGCUAACACUUCCCAUUAUCCCAGGUUCCUAUAACACCAGCUAGAAUCACUGAGCGCUAACACUUCCCAUUAUCCCAGGUUCCCCUAACACCAGCUAGAAUCACUGAGCGCUAACACUUCCCAUUAUCCCAGGUUCCCCUAACACCAGCUAGAAUCACUGGGCGCUAACAAUUCCCAUUAUCCCAGGUUCCCCUAACACCAGCUAGAAUCACUGGGCGCUAACACUUCCCAUUAUCCCAGGUUCCCCUAACACCAGCUAGAAUCACUGGGCGCUAACAAUUCCCAUUAUCCCAGGUUCCCCUAACACCAGCUAGAAUCACUGAGCGCUAACACUUCCCAUUAUCCCAGGUUCCUCUAACACCAGCUAGAAUCACUGAGCGCUAACACUUCCCAUUAUCCCAGGUUCCUAUAACACCAGCUAGAAUUACUGGGCGCUAACACUUCCCAUUAUCCCAGGUUCCCCUAACACCAGCUAGAAUCACUGAGCGCUAACACUUCCCAUUAUCCCAGGUUCCCCUAACACCAGCUAGAAUCACUGAGCGCUAACACUUCCCAUUAUCCCAGGUUCCCCUAACACCAGCUAGAAUCACUGAGCGCUAACACUUCCCAUUAUCCCAGGUUCCUAUAACACCAGCUAGAAUCACUGGGCGCUAACACUUCCCAUUAUCCCAGGUUCCUAUAACACCAGCUAGAAUCACUGGGCGCUAACACUUCCCAUUAUCCCAGGUUCCCCUAACACCAGCUAGAAUCACUGAGCGCUAACACUUCCCAUUAUCCCAGGUUCCCCUAACACCAGCUAGAAUCACUGAGCGCUAACACUUCCCAUUAUCCCAGGUUCCCCUAACACCAGCUAGAAUCACUGAGCGCUAACACUUCCCAUUAUCCCAGGUUCCUAUAACACCAGCUAGAAUCACUGGGCGCUAACACUUCCCAUUAUCCCAGGUUCCUAUAACACCAGCUAGAAUUACUGGGCGCUAACACUUCCCAUUAUCCCAGGUUCCCCUAACACCAGCUAGAAUCACUGAGCGCUAACACUUCCCAUUAUCUCAGGUUCCCCUAACACCAGCUAGAAUCACUGGGCAUUAACACCCUUCCAUUAUCUCAGGUUCCCCUAACACCAGCUAGAAUCACUGGGCGCUAACACUUCCCAUUAUCUCAGGUUCCCCUAACACCAGCUAGAAUCACUGGGCGCUAACACUUCCCAUUAUCCCAGGUUCCUAUAACACCAGCUAGAAUCACUGAGCGCUAACACUUCCCAUUAUCCCAGGUUCCUAUAACACCAGCUAGAAUCACUGGGCGCUAACACUUCCCAUUAUCCCAGGUUCCACUAACACCAGCUAGAAUCACUGGGCGCUAACACUUCCCAUUAUCCCAGGUUCCCCUAACACCAGCUAGAAUCACUGAGCGCUAACACUUCCCAUUAUCCCAGGUUCCCCUAACACAAGCUAGAGAUACUGAGCGCUAACACUUCCCAUUAUCUCAGGUUCCCCUAACACCAGCUAGAAUCACUGGGCGCUAACACUUCCCAUUAUCCCAGGUUCCUAUAACACCAGCUAGAAUCACUGAGCGCUAACACUUCCCAUUAUCCCAGGUUCCUAUAACACCAGCUAGAAUCACUGGGCGCUAACACUUCCCAUUAUCCCAGGUUCCCCUAACACAAGCUAGAAUCACUGAGCGCUAACACUUCCCAUUAUCCCAGGUUCCCCUAACACCAGCUAGAAUCACUGAGCGCUAACACUUCCCAUUAUCCCAGGUUCCCCUAACACAAGCUAGAGAUACUGAGCGCUAACACUUCCCAUUAUCCCAGGUUCCCCUAACACCAGCUAGAAUCACUGAGCGCUAACACUUCCCAUUAUCAGUGGCGACUCUAGGAACAAUAUAUAGGGGGGGCACAUAAGAUACCACAGUCAAAACUGGGGGGGCACUAAUAAUUUUCACCACUAAAUCAUACCACUGAAAAAAACUAUAUAUAUAUGUAAAAUAGGAUUCCAAAAUACCAGAGUAAUGUGGUAUGCAAUGAUAUCUUUUAUUGUACUAACCUAAUACUUAAAAGACAAGCUGUCAAGAGAUUUUCUUUCUUCCUCAUGUAUUGCUUCAGACCUGAGAAAGAGAGGAAAACUCUCAAAAGCUUUUCUUUAUAGUUUAAAGCAAUUUCAGCAAACACCAGACCUCUGUAAAUAAUCCCCUAUAUUAAAUAUAUCACUAAUGAAGACCAAUGAACAGACAGACCCUGAGUGUUUGUUGAUGUGUGUGUGUAACUAAUACUAAGUACCAUGUACUAAUUUUACACAGCCAGCCACUUCCUACUUCAAAAUGAAAAUUAGACACACUCAGGCACACAAAUAGACACAUUCAUACACACACACACACACACACACACACACAAGCACACUCAAAUACACACAUUUAGACAGGCACAUUCAGAGACACAUACAGGUACACUCAAAGACACAUAGACAGGCACAAUCAAAGACACACUCAGACAAAUACACACUCAGGGACACCCAUUCAGGCACACUCAAAAACACACACUCAGACACACAAACAGCCAACCUUAGAUUUAGAUUCAAGCCAAUGAAACAUAGCUUGCCUCCGAUCAGAAAUGCAGUAGUGAUUGAUAAAUAUACAAUAAAAUAGAAGAUUUAACUUAUUGUAAACUAGAGCAGUCUUACAUAAUGCCAUAAUACAUCUAAUACCUAAAAAUAUAAUCCCACAAUCAUUAAUAGAACAAGACUAUGGCCUCCAAUCCAAACUAAAACAUCUAUCCAAUAUACAUCAUGUGCAAAUAAAAUGCACCAAGCUACAAAUACAGUUACCACAAUCUGGUGCAUAAUUCUCAGCAAUAUACAUUUAUCAUGUGAAAAUAAAGUGCAUACCCUGAUUAAACUAAACACAUCCACCAUACGCGCAGUAUACAAGCUGCAAACGCAUUGACCAUUAGCAUGAAGUGCAAAUUGUGAGCACAUAGGCCAUGCAAACCAAGUGUGCGUUUUACCAAGUGUUAUUUAGUACACAGCACAAAAUAAACCUCUGAGUGGAGGAUCUCUCAAUGAUUACAUAGUCUGGUUAUUAAAUAUAUCCCAAAGCAAUCCAUAUUGCAAUUUCAAGUGUCCAUAUUCACCCUUAGUUAGAUAGACAGUUACCUAUGAACUAGGGAUGCACAAUUUUUUAAUGACCGAGUAUGAGUGCCAAUCCUUUUUUUUUUUUUUAGGUACUUGCUGAUACCAAUACUUUUUUUUGUAAUGUCAUGUGUCAGAGAGUAGGGGACCUAGCAAGCCAAUGUAUUUUUACAUUGGCUUGCUAUUCAGAUAAGGUAGUGAUUAUGGCAUGUAGUCAUUCUCACUACCUGAUCUGUGGCUAUUACUUUAAUACCUGUAAUUGUCCAGUUA
Long non-coding RNA from Bombina bombina (fire-bellied toad), 9760 nucleotides. RefSeq lists it as uncharacterized. The record is from RefSeq and is a predicted model, not a curated record. The transcript is spliced from 3 exons. NCBI's taxonomy places the organism in Eukaryota, Metazoa, Chordata, Amphibia, Anura, Bombinatoridae.